RNAcentral lists this long non-coding RNA (782 nucleotides) under Sus scrofa (pig). Its description in RNAcentral is "lncRNA (ENSSSCG00055019495.1)". Lineage: Eukaryota; Metazoa; Chordata; Mammalia; Artiodactyla; Suidae. The record is from RNAcentral.
UUUGCUCUUCAUUUCAACAUGUCUUUUCCUCUUACUCUUUGUGAUUUUCACUUGAUCCUUUUGAGUUUUGAUUCCAAAGUUCUUAAGAGACAGAGAUCCUAUUGGCUGGUGCAAGACCAUAGCAGUUGUGUGUGUGUGUGUGUGUGUGUGUGAGAGAGAGAGAGAGAGAGAGGGAGAGGGAGAGGGAGAGGGAGAGGGAGAGGGAGAGCGCUGAGUCACUGUCUCCCAUUUCUGGCUUCGCUUCUCACAUCCACAACCCAUGUGCUCUACUUCCAUUUUUUCCUCUCAUUCCUGUUCCAAGCACAUCUGAAGGGCCCUCCAGACUAAGACUCCACCAUGAGCACCUUUCACCUUGCACUUCCCCGACCCUGCUUCCCUUGUCCAGGACUACCAACAGGAUGCUGGACCAGGCUGAGCUGGACAGCCAUAGCCAGGUAGCCAGUUGGAUCCCUCUCCAGUGAUAACAAAGGUCUGGAGUCUCAGAGGGCUUUUCCUAGGACAAGACGUACCUCCAGAUCAAGAAAUUAUUUCAGCUGUGGCAUGAUCAACAAGUUCUGGAGCGGAAGGAAACCUUUCUAAACCACAAAUAACAAAAAACAUCUAUCUAUUAUGUCAGAAGACAAAGUUGUCUUUCUAUUCUCUGUACAUAAAAUGGCAUUGUAAAAUUUUUACCAUGUGAAAAAAGAUCAAUGAGUAUAACGCCAAAAAUAUAGGGAAAAGAUGUAUUACAUAGAUGGGUCAGCACUUAAGUUGUAAUUGUAGCAAAAAUUGUUAAUUAAAAC